CGACCUCAGGUCAGGCAAGACAACCCGCUGAGUUUAAGCAUAUCACUAAGCGGAGGAAAAGAAACUAACAAGGAUUUCCCUAGUAGCGGCGAGCGAAACGGAAAGAGCCCAGCUUGGAAAUCGGGGUGUCUCUGCACCCCGAAUUGUAGUCUGGAGAAGGGUCCUCUGCAGCGGACCGGGUUUAAGUCCCUUGGAACGGGACGCCAGAGAGGGUGAGAGCCCCGUCUAGCCCGGACCCUGCUGCAUCACGAGGCUCUUUCGGCGAGUCGGGCUGUUUGGGAAUGCAGCCUUAAGUGGGUGGUAAAUUCCAUCCAAGGCUAAAUACUGGUGAGAGACCGAUAGCGCACAAGUACCGCGAGGGAAAGAUGAAAAGGACUUUGAAAAGAGAGUUAAAAAGUGCUUGAAAUUGCUGGGAGGGAAGCGAAUGGAUGCCUUGUGCGCCCCUUGGUUGUGUGUGGAACGGCGAGAGCUGGUCUGCCAAGCAAUGCAAGGGGCUGUCCAGCAUGGGAGGACGCGGCGGGAUAACGGCUUGUGAGCCUCUGGCUCCCUGCCAAUGCCGCCGCUGCCUCUGAAAAUGGCGGGGUGCUCCGGUGCCCCGCCAGAUGCUGGAACUUGGGCGUUCCAUCCGACCCGUCUUGAAACACGGACCAAGGAGUCUAACAUGUAUGCGAGUCUGUGGGUGCUAAACCCGUACAGGCGAAAGGAAACUAAUUCGUGGGAUCCCCUUCGGGGGUGCACCACGGACCGACCUUGAUCUUUUGAGAAGGGUUUGAGUGUUAGCAUACCUGCUGGGACCCGAAAGAUGGUGAACUAUGCCUGAGCAGGGCGAAGCCAGAGGAAACUCUGGUGGAGGCUCGUAGCGAUACUGACGUGCAAAUCGUUCGUCAGACUUGGGUAUAGGGGCGAAAGACUAAUCGAACCAUCUAGUAGCUGGUACCCUCCGAAGUUUCCCUCAGGAUAGCUGGAGCUCUUGCUGAGUUUUAUCGGGUAAAGCGAAUGAUUAGAGGCAUCGGGGGUGAAACACCCUCGACCUAUUCUCAAACUUUAAAUAGGUAAAGCAGCCGGGGUUGCUCUGUUGAGCCCCGGCCGUGAAUGCGAGCUCCAAGUGGGCCAUUUUUGGUAAGCAGAACUGGCGAUGCGGGAUGAACCGAAAGCCGGGCUACGGUGCCAAAGUGCGCGCUAACCCAGAUCCCACAAAGGGUGUUGAUUGAUUAAGACAGCAGGACGGUGGUCAUGGAAGUCGAAAUCCGCUAAGGAGUGUGUAACAACUCACCUGCCGAAUCAACUAGCCCCGAAAAUGGAUGGCGCUUAAGCGCGCGGCCUAUGCCCGGCCAUCGCGGCGAUUGCGAGGCCCCGAUGAGUAGGAGGGCGUGGGGGUCGUGGUGCAGCUCUGGGCGCGAGCCCGAGUGAAACGGCCCCCAGUGCAGAUCUUGGUGGUAGUAGCAAGUAUUCAAAUGAGAACUUUGAAGACUGAAGUGGAGAAAGGUUCCAUGUGAACAGCAAUUGGACAUGGGUUAGUCGAUCCUAAGAGAUGGGGAAAUCCUGUGUGAAGGGCGCAAUGCGCGCCGCCCAUCGAAAGGGAAUCGGGUUAAUAUUCCCGAACUGGGACAAGGCAGUGGGCGGUAACGCCGACGAAUCCAGAGACACUGGCGGGGGCCCCGGGAAGAGUUAUCUUUUCUUUUUAACGGCCUGCCGACCCUGAAAUCGGUUCAACCGGAGAUAGGGUCUCACGGCCGGCAGAGCACCGCACGUCCUGCGGUGUCCGGUGCGCCCCCGGCGGUCCUUGAAAAUCUGGAGGAGCGAGUGCUGAGCUUGCCCGGUCGUACUCAUAACCGCAUCAGGUCUCCAAGGUGAGCAGCCUCUAGUCGAUGGAACAAUGUAGGUAAGGGAAGUCGGCAAAAUGGAUCCGUAACUUCGGGAAAAGGAUUGGCUCUGAGGGUUGGGCUUAGGGGUCUGCGGCUUGACCCUGUAGGCUGCUGGCGGUCUGCCCGAGCUGCUUGCGCGGCGAGGGCGGGCCCCGGCGUGCCGACCUGGUGACGGACGCAGAACGCCCCUCCCCGCGGGGGGCAUUCCCUAGGCAUCGAACAACCGACUCAGAACUGGAACGGACAAGGGGAAUCCGACUGUUUAAUUAAAACAAAGCAUUGCGUGCUUCGACCGCUCGUUAGUUUACCAACAUCAGCUGCCUGCCGUCUUCCCUUCCUUUCCCCUUUUUUU
Molecule: ribosomal RNA, 2217 nt
Organism: Selaginella moellendorffii
Lineage: Eukaryota; Viridiplantae; Streptophyta; Lycopodiopsida; Selaginellales; Selaginellaceae
Rfam family: Eukaryotic large subunit ribosomal RNA
Source: Rfam